RNAcentral lists this ribosomal RNA (253 nucleotides) under uncultured bacterium. Its description in RNAcentral is "partial 16S ribosomal RNA". It matches the Rfam family "Bacterial small subunit ribosomal RNA", at positions 524 to 776 of the family's 1533-position model. The record is from RNAcentral.
UACGUAGGUGGCAAGCGUUGUCCGGAUUUACUGGGCGUAAAGAGCGCGCAGGCGGUCGUUCAAGUCGCGUGUGAAAGCCCCCGGCUCAACUGGGGAGGGUCACGCGAUACUGAUCGACUCGAAGGCAGGAGAGGGAAGUGGAAUUCCCGGUGUAGUGGUGAAAUGCGUAGAUAUUGGGAAGAACACCGAUGGCGAAGGCAGCCAUCUGGACCGACACUGACGCUGAGGCGCGAAAGCGUGGGGAGCAAACAGG